AUACGGAGGGGGCUAGCGUUGUUCGGAAUUACUGGGCGUAAAGGGUGCGUAGGCGGCUUGAUAAGUCGGAUGUGAAAGCCCCGGGCUUAACCUGGGAAUUGCAUUCGAUACUGUCAGGCUAGAGUAUGUCAGAGGUUGGCGGAAUUCCUGGUGUAGCGGUGAAAUGCGUAGAUAUCAGGAGGAACACCAGUGCGAAGGCGGCUAACUGGGACAAUACUGACGCUGAGGCACGAAAGCGUGGGGAGCAAACAGGAUUAGAAACCCUAGUAGUCC
RNAcentral lists this ribosomal RNA (273 nucleotides) under uncultured bacterium. RNAcentral's name for it is "partial 16S ribosomal RNA". It matches the Rfam family "Bacterial small subunit ribosomal RNA", at positions 523 to 796 of the family's 1533-position model. The record is from RNAcentral.